This 1324-nucleotide ribosomal RNA is filed under the name Microbacteriaceae bacterium. Its description in RNAcentral is "bacterial SSU rRNA". It matches the Rfam family "Bacterial small subunit ribosomal RNA", at positions 57 to 1388 of the family's 1533-position model. The record is from RNAcentral. Lineage: Bacteria; Bacillati; Actinomycetota; Actinomycetes; Micrococcales; Microbacteriaceae.
GCAAGUCGAACGGUGAAGGUGGAGCUUGCUCUGCUGGAUCAGUGGCGAACGGGUGAGUAACACGUGAGCAAUCUGCCCCGAACUCUGGGAUAACCACGGGAAACCGUGGCUAAUACUGGAUAUGUCGAGUGACCGCAUGGUCUGCUCGUGGAAAGAUUUUUCGGUUCGGGAUGAGCUCGCGGCCUAUCAGCUUGUUGGUGAGGUAAUGGCUCACCAAGGCGACGACGGGUAGCCGGCCUGAGAGGGUGACCGGCCACACUGGGACUGAGACACGGCCCAGACUCCUACGGGAGGCAGCAGUGGGGAAUAUUGCACAAUGGGCGCAAGCCUGAUGCAGCAACGCCGCGUGAGGGAUGACGGCCUUCGGGUUGUAAACCUCUUUUAGCAGGGAAGAAGCGAAAGUGACGGUACCUGCAGAAAAAGCACCGGCUAACUACGUGCCAGCAGCCGCGGUAAUACGUAGGGUGCAAGCGUUGUCCGGAAUUAUUGGGCGUAAAGAGCUCGUAGGCGGUCUGUCGCGUCUGCUGUGAAAUCCCGAGGCUCAACCUCGGGCCUGCAGUGGGUACGGGCAGACUAGAGUGCGGUAGGGGAGAAUGGAACUCCUGGUGUAGCGGUGGAAUGCGCAGAUAUCAGGAAGAACACCGAUGGCGAAGGCAGUUCUCUGGGCCGUAACUGACGCUGAGGAGCGAAAGCGUGGGGAGCGAACAGGAUUAGAUACCCUGGUAGUCCACGCCGUAAACGUUGGGCGCUAGAUGUGGGGACCAUUCCACGGUUUCCGUGUCGCAGCUAACGCAUUAAGCGCCCCGCCUGGGGAGUACGGCCGCAAGGCUAAAACUCAAAGGAAUUGACGGGGGCCCGCACAAGCGGCGGAGCAUGCGGAUUAAUUCGAUGCAACGCGAAGAACCUUACCAAGGCUUGACAUACACGAGAACGGGCCAGAAAUGGUCAACUCUUUGGACACUCGUGAACAGGUGGUGCAUGGUUGUCGUCAGCUCGUGUCGUGAGAUGUUGGGUUAAGUCCCGCAACGAGCGCAACCCUCGUUCUAUGUUGCCAGCACGUGAUGGUGGGAACUCAUAGGAGACUGCCGGGGUCAACUCGGAGGAAGGUGGGGAUGACGUCAAAUCAUCAUGCCCCUUAUGUCUUGGGCUUCACGCAUGCUACAAUGGCCGGUACAAAGGGCUGCGAUACCGUAAGGUGGAGCGAAUCCCUAAAAAGCCGGUCUCAGUUCGGAUUGAGGUCUGCAACUCGACCUCAUGAAGUCGGAGUCGCUAGUAAUCGCAGAUCAGCAACGCUGCGGUGAAUACGUUCCCGGGCCUUGUACAC